CGCUAUCACUCCUACGGGGAGCAGCAGUAGGGAAUCUUCACAAUGGGCGCAAGCCUGAUGGAGCAGCACCGCGUGAGUGAAGAAGGGUUUCGGCUCGUAAAGCUCUGUUGUUAAAGAAGAACACGUAUGAGAGUAACUGUUCAUACGUUGACGGUAUUUAACCAGAAAGUCACGGCUAACUACGUGCCAGCAGCCGCGGUAAUACGUAGGUGGCAAGCGUUAUCCGGAUUUAUUGGGCGUAAAGAGAGUGCAGGCGGUUUUCUAAGUCUGAUGUGAAAGCCUUCGGCUUGACCGGAGAAGUGCAUCGGAAACUGGAUAACUUGAGUGCAGAAGAGGGUAGUGGAACUCCAUGUGUAGCGGUGGAAUGCGUAGAUAUAUGGAAGAACACCAGUGGCGAAGGCGGCUACCUGGUCUGCAACUGACGCUGAGACUCGAAAGCAUGGGUAGCGAACAGGAUUAGAUACCCUGGUAG
RNAcentral lists this ribosomal RNA (472 nucleotides) under uncultured bacterium. RNAcentral describes it as "bacterial SSU rRNA". It matches the Rfam family "Bacterial small subunit ribosomal RNA", at positions 328 to 793 of the family's 1533-position model. The record is from RNAcentral.